RNAcentral lists this ribosomal RNA (496 nucleotides) under uncultured bacterium. Its description in RNAcentral is "partial 16S ribosomal RNA". It matches the Rfam family "Bacterial small subunit ribosomal RNA", at positions 28 to 506 of the family's 1533-position model. The record is from RNAcentral.
GAUGAACGCUGGCGGCGUGCCUAAUACAUGCAAGUCGAGCGAACAGACGAGGAGCUUGCUCCUCUGACGUUAGCGGCGGACGGGUGAGUAACACGUGGAUAACCUACCUAUAAGACUGGGAUAACUUCGGGAAACCGGAGCUAAUACCGGAUAAUAUAUUGAACCGCAUGGUUCAAUAGUGAAAGACGGUUUUGCUGUCACUUAUAGAUGGAUCCGCGCCGCAUUAGCUAGUUGGUAAGGUAACGGCUUACCAAGGCAACGAUGCGUAGCCGACCUGAGGGGGUGAUCGGCCACACUGGAGCUGAGACACGGCCCAGACUCCUACGGGAGGCAGCAGUAGGGAAGCGUCCGCAAUGGGCGAAAGCCUGACGGAGCAACGCAGCGUGAGUGAUGAAGGGCUUCGGAUCGUAAAACGCUGUUAUUAGGGAAGAACAAAUGUGUAAGUAACGAUGCACGUCUUGACGGUACCUAAGCAGAAAGCCACGGCUAACUACGG